This 253-nucleotide ribosomal RNA is filed under the name uncultured bacterium. RNAcentral describes it as "partial 16S ribosomal RNA". It matches the Rfam family "Bacterial small subunit ribosomal RNA", at positions 524 to 776 of the family's 1533-position model. The record is from RNAcentral.
UACGUAGGGUGCGAGCGUUGUCCGGAAUUACUGGGCGUAAAGAGCUCGUAGGUGGUUUGUCGCGUUGUUCGUGAAAUCUCACGGCUUAACUGUGAGCGUGCGGGCGAUACGGGCAGACUGGAGUACUGCAGGGGAGACUGGAAUUCCUGGUGUAGCGGUGGAAUGCGCAGAUAUCAGGAGGAACACCCAUGGCGAAGGCAGCAAACUGGGCAUUAUCUGACGCUGAGGCGCGAAAGCGUGGGUAGCAAACAGG